AAUAAGUACAGUUUUACAUUAUUUUCGUUCAACGUUUGACCAUUCGUCUUAUUUAAAAAUUUUUUAUAAUUAGUAUUUUUAUUGUUAUUAGAUGAUAAAACAUGAAUAAUACUUUAUGUGUGACUAAAUAUUUUUAAAUUUUUUAUAAUUUUUUUAAAUAAGAUGGAUGGUUAAACGUUGGGCAUGGAUAUUCACAGCUGCACUUAUU
Non-coding RNA from Oryza glaberrima (African rice), 208 nucleotides. The record is from Rfam. Lineage: Eukaryota; Viridiplantae; Streptophyta; Magnoliopsida; Poales; Poaceae.